This is a non-coding RNA of Angiostrongylus costaricensis, 45 nucleotides long. The record is from Rfam. Lineage: Eukaryota; Metazoa; Nematoda; Chromadorea; Rhabditida; Metastrongylidae.
CCAACGGCCCUCUUUAGGGCCACAAUUGGUAUGAAAAAAAAGGCG